GAUGAACGCUGGCGGCGUGCCUAAUACAUGCAAGUCGAGCGAACAGACGAGGAGCUUGCUCCUCUGACGUUAGCGGCGGACGGGUGAGUAACACGUGGAUAACCUACCUAUAAGACUGGGAUAACUUCGGGAAACCGGAGCUAAUACCGGAUAAUAUAUUGAACCGCAUGGUUCAAUAGUGAAAGACGGUUUUGCUGUCACUUAUAGAUGGUUCCGCGCCGCAUUAGCUAGUUGGUAAGGUAACGGCUUACCAAGGCAACGAUGCGUAGCCGACCUGAGAGGGUGAUCGGCCACACUGGAACUGAGACACGGUCCAGACUCCUACGGGAGGCAGCAGUAGGGAAUCUUCCGCAAUGGGCGAAAGCCUGACGGAGCAACGCCGCGUGAGUGAUGAAGGUCUUCGGAUCUUAAAACUCUGUUAUUAGGGAAGAACAAAUGUGUAAGUAACUAUGCACGUCUUGACGGUACCUAAUCAGAAAGCCACGGCUAACUACGUG
Molecule: ribosomal RNA, 497 nt
Filed under: uncultured bacterium
Lineage: Bacteria
Description: partial 16S ribosomal RNA
Rfam family: Bacterial small subunit ribosomal RNA
Source: RNAcentral